UACCUGUGGUUAAGAAGGACUUAGGAGA
RNAcentral lists this non-coding RNA (28 nucleotides) under Rattus norvegicus (Norway rat). Lineage: Eukaryota; Metazoa; Chordata; Mammalia; Rodentia; Muridae. The record is from RNAcentral.